GAUGAACGCUGGCGGCGUGCCUAAUACAUGCAAGUCGAGCGAACGGACGAGAAGCUUGCUUUUCUGAUGUUAGCGGCGGACGGGUGAGUAACACGUGGAUAACCUACCUAUAAGACUGGGAUAACUUCGGGAAACCGGAGCUAAUACCGGAUAAUAUUUUGAACCGCAUGGUUCAAAAGUGAAAGACGGUCUUGCUGUCACUUAUAGAUGGAUCCGCGCUGCAUUAGCUAGUUGGUAAGGUAACGGCUUACCAAGGCAACGAUGCAUAGCCGACCUGAGAGGGUGAUCGGCCACACUGGAACUGAGACACGGUCCAGACUCCUACGGGAGGCAGCAGUAGGGAAUCUUCCGCAAUGGGCGAAAGCCUGACGGAGCAACGCCGCGUGAGUGAUGAAGGUCUUCGGAUCGUAAAACUCUGUUAUUAGGGAAGAACAUAUGUGUAAGUAACUGUGCACAUCUUGACGGUACCUAAUCAGAAGCCACGGCUAACUACGUG
RNAcentral lists this ribosomal RNA (496 nucleotides) under uncultured bacterium. RNAcentral's name for it is "partial 16S ribosomal RNA". It matches the Rfam family "Bacterial small subunit ribosomal RNA", at positions 28 to 507 of the family's 1533-position model. The record is from RNAcentral.